UACGUAGGGGGCGAGCGUUGUCCGGAUUCAUUGGGCGUAAAGCGCUUUAAGGCGGUUCGCUAAGUCGGGUGUGAAACCUCCAGGCUCAACCUGGAGACGCCACUCGAUACUGGCGUGACUAGAGUCCGGUAGGGGACCACGGAAUUCCUGGUGUAGCGGUGAAAUGCGCAGAUAUCAGGAAGAACACCCGUGGCUAAGGCGGCUCUCUAGUACGGUACUGACGCUGAGACGCGAAAGCGUGGGGAGCGAACAGG
RNAcentral lists this ribosomal RNA (254 nucleotides) under uncultured bacterium. RNAcentral describes it as "partial 16S ribosomal RNA". It matches the Rfam family "Bacterial small subunit ribosomal RNA", at positions 524 to 776 of the family's 1533-position model. The record is from RNAcentral.